RNAcentral lists this unclassified non-coding RNA (679 nucleotides) under Hevea brasiliensis (rubber tree). The record is from RNAcentral. Lineage: Eukaryota; Viridiplantae; Streptophyta; Magnoliopsida; Malpighiales; Euphorbiaceae.
UUAUAUAUCAGUAUAAAAAUAUAUUCAUAAACUUAGGCAGUAAUUUGCCAUUACAUCACCAUAAUAAUAAACAAUAUGCAAGUAAAGCUGCGGGCUACAAUUUCCCCCCUAAAUUUGGUCCUUUUGUAGCCACUUCAGCCUCUAUUAGCUUUACCAACACCCAACUUAGAUAAAAAGAAAAAGUAGAUAAAAGAGUAACAAAGCAAUUCCCCAGAAAGUUGAUAGUAAUUCAAAAGAGAAAGAAACAAAUCCCCGCGACACUUUCCCAGAUAAAAAAAGAGAACCAUUGAAGGCGGGAAAUUGUAAGAAUUUUUCUUUUGUUUUGAUCAGGUCAGUGUAAUUAUUUGGUGAAAUUAAACGCGGAAAUUCUUUCCCUGGAAAGUUUGUCCAAAUUGCCAGUUAGCUGGUGCAAUGUUGUAGGAAGCAGAGCUGCGUCGAUCACUAGCAGUGACUCUAAAAGAAAGUGCUUGUCCGACUAGUUUUGCAUUUGUUUGCCAAUUCUGACCCCAAUUACGAGUCAUUGAAAUCCAUGGCGUGUUUGUGCCUUUAACAUAAACCUUUUGAAUGUCCCCUGCACCUGCAACGUUGGUGACUAACACUAAGUUAAAGUAUUGGAAACCGUUGACUGUGAAUCUGAUUCCUCCUUGUUUCCUGCAUGGAACCCUUCGGUAGUUGACAG